Platichthys flesus (European flounder) is the source of this 1528-nucleotide long non-coding RNA. RefSeq lists it as uncharacterized. The record is from RefSeq and is a predicted model, not a curated record. The transcript is spliced from 3 exons. Lineage: Eukaryota; Metazoa; Chordata; Actinopteri; Pleuronectiformes; Pleuronectidae.
CUGCUCUGCUCUCAUCAUCAAACACCUGAAACACUUUCUAAAGCCUUGUUCUCACACAACCUUGUGAACGCAACAUCUCAGGAACACCUCCAGGGGAUUUCUGAAAAUUUGGUGCAAAUGUUUUCUUGGACAUUAAGAUGAACUGAUUAGAUUUAGGUGAUCAAAGGUCAAAGUUCAUGAAGGCUUCAUACAACCAGUUUUUUACCUCCUGAGCACGAGAUCUCACUUCGGUGUUUUGGCAUUCAACCACAAGGCAGUAAUUCUUCUUCUAAUGCUGUCCUUCACAUGAAGGUAUAAAUGAAGACGGUAUGUAUAUUUAUAUAUAUAUAUAUAUAUUGUUUUCAUCACUUUCUCAUGCGGUCUGUGUUCAUUCUUUAUAUACAGUCUUUAUAUACAGUCUAUGAUGGUAACACAAGCCCACUUCCUGUUUGGAUGCCCUAACUCACUCCUCUGUGUGGGAGGUUGAGGUCUGGUGCUGCAGAGCCAUGCACGAGGCGGCACUCUGCUGCAUAAGUGUCUUGACCAGUAAGAUGCAUGGACCGAAGCUGUGGUUUGCUCUGCUUCUGUCACUGAUCUUCUGUGUUGAGAGCAAAGGUAUCGUACAGAAACUACUUCUUACAGCGUAUAACUUACAGGAGACUGUUCCGUACGUCCCUCCAGUGUGCACAAGUACAACUGAGGUUAUCAUUAUAUUUGUCAUAUCAUUAUAACGUGCACCAUCAUAACAGAGAGAAACAGGGGAUCAGAAUGUGAACUGGUGUAUCAACAUGGAGAGGACUUUGAGACCAGUUGUGACUCCAGGUUCAGAUCAAUGAUGGACAAUCAGACUUUGUUCCUUCAUCUGAGCAGCUUGACCCCAGAGGACGAGGUGAACGUCACCUGUGAGUGUACAGAUCUGGAUGGAAUAUUUCACCUGCGUCUCAAUGUCACUGUGGAAGAGGAGGCAAUCGCCAGCAGCUCGUCUGAAGAGCUUAUUCCUUAUGUUGUAAUCGUUGUGAUUCUCUUCAUGGUUACAUCUGGAGCGAUCCUGGGACUUAUCUGCAGAAAUACUUGCAACAGAGGACAACAGGAAGCCACCACCGGUCAUCCAGAUGUGGUACUGAGCACCAGUACGUUUGUUUCUUAUCAAUUAAUCCAAUAACAAAAAUGAAAACCUGUUUCUAAACGUGUGUUGCUCCACAAGCACCAGGAGACAUUGAGCCAUACAGCACCUUCAUGCAGAGAGAGAGUGGACUUUAUUCUGUUUUUAAUAUUCCCAGAUUGAAUUCAUAUUACAUAACAUUUCCUUUAGCUGACACUUUUAUCCACAGCAACUUACAAUAGGUGCAUUCAACCAUGAGGGUACAAACCAGAGCAACAAGAAUCAAGAAAGUACAAUUUCCUUAAAGAAAGAAUUCUCGAGUGUCUCCAUGUGAUGCUUGUUUUCAUGUUGAUGUAACAAACUUAACUUUGAGUUUUAAUCAUUCUAAUCAAACUUGAUUGUUUCGCUUAUGUUUUAUUCACCUUGAGUUUCAUGUUUUUGUUUUUA